GAUGAACGUUGGCGGCGUGCUUUAGGCAUGCAAGUCGAGCGAGAGUUAUUUUUCUGAAGGGCUUGCCUGGAAGAAGAAUAAAUCUAGCGGCGAACGGGUGAGUAACAAGUGGAUAUUUCCCUCGAAGUUCGGAAUAGCCCUGGGAAACUGGGAGUAAUACCGGAGAUGUAGUAAUACCAAAGCCGCAAGGCGCUUCGAGAUGAGUCUGCUCGCUAUCAGCUAGUUGGUAAGGUAAUGGCUUACCAAGGCUAAGACGGCUAACUGGUCUGAGAGGAUGACCAGUCACAUGGGGACUGAGACACGGCCCUGACACCUACGGGUGGCAGCAACUAGGAAUCUUGCACAAUGGGGGAAACCCUGAUGCAGCGACGCCGCGUGGAGGACGAAGGCCGAAAGGUUGUAAACUCCUUUUGCAUGGGAACAAUGCGAGUGUACCAUGAGAAUAAGCCACUGCUAACUUCGUGCCAGCAGCCGCGGUAAAAC
This 483-nucleotide ribosomal RNA is filed under the name uncultured bacterium. RNAcentral describes it as "bacterial SSU rRNA". It matches the Rfam family "Bacterial small subunit ribosomal RNA", at positions 28 to 526 of the family's 1533-position model. The record is from RNAcentral.